AGAGACAGCAGCAGCCGCGGUAAUACGGAGGAUCCAAGCGUUAUCCGGAUUUAUUGGGUUUAAAGGGUGCGUAGGUGGCCUGUUAAGUCAGGGGUGAAAGACGGUAGCUCAACUAUCGCAGUGCCCUUGAUACUGAUGGGCUUGAAUGAACUAGAGGUAGGCGGAAUGUGACAAGUAGCGGUGAAAUGCAUAGAUAUGUCACAGAACACCAAUUGCGAAGGCAGCUUACUAUGGUUUUAUUGACACUGAGGCACGAAAGCGUGGGGAUCAAACAGGAUUAGAGACCCGCGUAGUCCCUGUCUCUUAUAC
RNAcentral lists this ribosomal RNA (309 nucleotides) under uncultured bacterium. RNAcentral describes it as "partial 16S ribosomal RNA". It matches the Rfam family "Bacterial small subunit ribosomal RNA", at positions 504 to 807 of the family's 1533-position model. The record is from RNAcentral.